This 235-nucleotide ribosomal RNA is filed under the name uncultured bacterium. Its description in RNAcentral is "partial 16S ribosomal RNA". It matches the Rfam family "Bacterial small subunit ribosomal RNA", at positions 118 to 347 of the family's 1533-position model. The record is from RNAcentral.
UGAGUAACCUGCCCUUCACUCUGGGAUAACUCCGGGGAAACCGGGGCUAAUACUGGAUACGACCUGAACAGGCAUCUGUAUCGGGUGGAAAGAUUUAUUGGUGGAGGAUGGACUCACGGCCUAUCAGCUUGUUGGUGAGGUAAUGGCUCACCAAGGCGACGACGGGUAGCUGGUCUGAGAGGAUGGCCAGCCACAUUGGGACUGAGACACCGGCCCAGACCUCCGUACGGGAGCA